GACGAACGCUGGCGGCGUGCUUAACACAUGCAAGUCGAACGGGAUAAUUUGAGAGCUUGCUCUUAGAGAAUCUAGUGGCAAACGGGUGAGUAACACGUAGACAACCUGCCGACAGGAUGGGGACAACAUUCCGAAAGGAAUGCUAAUACCGAAUGAAGCGGAGGAGAGGCAUCUCUCCUCCGUGAAAGAUGGCCUCUGAAUAUGCUAUCACCUGUCGAUGGGUCUGCGUCUGAUUAGCUAGUUGGUGAGGUAACGGCUCACCAAGGCGACGAUCAGUAGCCGGUCGGAGAGGAUGAACGGCCACAUUGGGACUGAGACACGGCCCAGACUCCUACGGGAGGCAGCAGUGGGGAAUCUUCCGCAAUGGGCGCAAGCCUGACGGAGCAACGCCGCGUGAGUGAAGAAGGGCGUCGGAUCGUAAAGCUCUGUUGACGGGGACGAACGUGCGAAGGGUGAAUAAUCCUUUGUAAUGACGGUACCUGUCGAGGAAGCCACGGCUAACUACGUG
This 508-nucleotide ribosomal RNA is filed under the name uncultured bacterium. RNAcentral describes it as "partial 16S ribosomal RNA". It matches the Rfam family "Bacterial small subunit ribosomal RNA", at positions 28 to 507 of the family's 1533-position model. The record is from RNAcentral.